RNAcentral lists this ribosomal RNA (468 nucleotides) under uncultured bacterium. RNAcentral's name for it is "partial 16S ribosomal RNA". It matches the Rfam family "Bacterial small subunit ribosomal RNA", at positions 28 to 507 of the family's 1533-position model. The record is from RNAcentral.
GAUGAACGCUGGCGGCGUGCUUAACACAUGCAAGUCGAACGGAAAGGCCCUGCUUUUGUUGGGUGCUCGAGUGGCGAACGGGUGAGUAACACGUGAGUAACCUGCCCCUGACUUUGGGAUAACUCCAGGAAACUGGGGCUAAUACCGGAUAGGAGAUCCUGCUGCAUGGUGGGGGUUGGAAAGUUUCGGCGGUUGGGUAUGGACUCGCGGCAUAUGCGCUUGUUGGUGGGGUAGGGGCUUACCAAGGCUUUGACGGGUAGCCGGCCUGAGAGGGUGACCGGCCACAUUGGGACUGAGAUAGGGCCCAGCCUCCUACGGGAGGCAGCGGUGGGGAAUAUUACACAAGGGGCCGAAGCCUGAUGCGGAAACGCCGCGUGCGGAAUAACGGCCUUCGGGUUUAAAACCGCUGUGGCAGGUGACGAAGCGUGAGUGACGGUAAUGAGUAAAGAAGCACCGGCUAACUACGUG